CACCUCCGGCGGCGGCGGCGGCGGCGGCGGUUUACCUGCCUUGCGCAGCAGGCCGAUCUGCGAACCGUUGAGGGCCAUGUAGUCGCAGUCGGUGAUGACCCGCACGCGCACCCCGCGCUGGUGCAGCAGCUGCACAGCACGCCCCAGCUGCGGGCUGGAGAAGGCGAAGAGGCAGAGCUCCAGGCUGGAGCGGGCGGCCAGCAGCGCGCGCAGCAGGCGGCUCAGCGAACUCUCGCUGUGAGGGAGACUGCACGGGCAGCCCGAGGAGGGCCCGGGGGGCAAGCCUGGGGUCUGCAGGAGCGCCUCGGUGCAGGUCACCUGCGACGGGAAGAAGAGCACCUCGCGCCGUGGCCGCCGCCCGGCCAGCAGCCAGCGCACCAGCCACGGCAGCGCCUCCAGGGCCAGCGCGAAACCCGCGCCAGCCGCGACCACCAACCGCCAACUCGAGAGCCCCAUGGCCGCCAGCUCCGAGGUCAUGGAUAUCUUGCAGCUCUUUCUGAAAUGUAAACUUUCUCUCAGGAUCUGUAAGACCAUUGGGGAAGAGAGUGUUAAAAACCUGUUCCAAGCACAAAGAAGUCAGCCGGAAACUUAUAACAAAAAGGAAUAGAUGACAGCAAUUGAAUGAUCCAGCAGCGAUCAACUUAAAACUCAGUUCCUGCUAAGUGGACCCGAGGGCCCACCUCUUCAGCAGACCCCAAACUACCGCCUCCAGACGACAGCCCUCGUCAGCUCAAAAGAACUAAGAAAGAGACAACACCUUUUCUAUGUGUUCAGGAUCUGGAAUGAUAGAAUGCCCCAGCCAUGGAAAGCAGCCUGCUGAGGUGUCUUGCGGUCAUUGUCAAACUGCUGUCUGUCAACCACAACCCAACAACCCUGGCUGGGCAAAGAGUCACAGAGCCAACACUACCCUGUUGGGCAAAGCAACCCCAGGAAGAGGGGGUCCUCGCAAUCUGCCUCCACCAAUGGACCAACUUCCAGGUACCCGAGCCCCUGGCCCACCACCAUAAGAGCUUGCUCCCCUUCACAGAGUCCCUCCAUUCUUGUAGGAGAGAGGCUGCCCG
This is a long non-coding RNA of Onychomys torridus (southern grasshopper mouse), 1061 nucleotides long. RefSeq lists it as uncharacterized. NCBI's taxonomy places the organism in Eukaryota, Metazoa, Chordata, Mammalia, Rodentia, Cricetidae. The record is from RefSeq and is a predicted model, not a curated record. The transcript has 3 exons.